GAUGAACGCUGACAGAAUGCUUAACACAUGCAAGUCGAUGGGGAAGUGGUGCUUGCACCAUGGCAACCAUGGCGGACGGGUGAGUAACGCGUAAGGGACUUACCUGCAGGACUGGGAUAACAGGGGGAAACUCCUGACAAGACCGGAUAAUGUCAUGGAGCUGCAUGGCUUUAUGAUGAAAGGAGACGCCUGCGGAGAGCCUUGCGUCCUAUUAGCUAGUUGGUGAGGUAAUGGCUCACCAAGGCGAAGAUAGGUAGCCGGCCUGAGAGGGUGGACGGCCACAAGGGGACUGAGAUACGGCCGUUACUCCUACGGGAGGCAGCAGGGGGGAAUAUUGGACAAUGGGGGCAACCCUGAUCCAGCAAUUCUGUGUGCACGAAGAAGGUUUUCGGAGUGUAAAGUGCUUUCAGCAGGGAAGAAGUAAGUGACGGUACCUGCAGAAGAAGCGACGGCUAAAUACGUG
RNAcentral lists this ribosomal RNA (463 nucleotides) under uncultured bacterium. Its description in RNAcentral is "partial 16S ribosomal RNA". It matches the Rfam family "Bacterial small subunit ribosomal RNA", at positions 28 to 507 of the family's 1533-position model. The record is from RNAcentral.